This 371-nucleotide ribosomal RNA is filed under the name uncultured organism. RNAcentral's name for it is "bacterial SSU rRNA". It matches the Rfam family "Bacterial small subunit ribosomal RNA", at positions 526 to 896 of the family's 1533-position model. The record is from RNAcentral.
CAGAGAGUGCAAACGUUGUUCGGAAUUACUGGGCUUAAAGCGCACGUAGGCGGCGCCGCAAGUGUGGGGUGAAAGCCCACGGCUUACCCGUGGAAUUGCCUGGCAGACUGCGGUGCUGGAGUGUGGUAGGGGAGAGCGGAACUCCUGGUGGAGCGGUGAAAUGCGUAGAUAUCAGGAGGAACACCGGUGGCGAAGGCGGCUCUCUGGUCCACAACUGACGCUGAGGUGCGAAAGCUAGGGGAGCAAACGGGAUUAGAUACCCCGGUAGUCCUAGCUGUAAACGAUGGGCACUAGCUUGGGGUCCCCCUGUGUGAUCCCAGGUGAAGCAAAAGUGAUAAGUGCCCCGCCUGGGGAGUAUGGUCGCAAGGCUG